CAGGACGAACGCUGGCGGCGUGCUUCAUACAUGCAAGUCGAACGAGAAACUGACUUCGGUUAGUGGGAAGUGGCGGACGGGUGAGUAAUAUGUAGAGAAUCUGCCCUUGAGUGGGGGACAACAGAGGGAAACUUCUGCUAAUACCCCAUAUGAGCUUAGUUGAAAUACUAAUCUUGAAAACUCCGGUGCUCAAGGAUGAGUCUGCAUCUGAUUAGCUAGUUGGCGGUGUAAUGGACCACCAAGGCGACGAUCAGUAGCUGGUUUGAGAGGAUGAUCAGCCACAAUGGGACUGAGACACGGCCCAUACUCCUACGGGAGGCAGCAGUAGGGAAUUUUGCGCAAUGGGCGAAAAAGCCUGACGCAGCAACGCCGCGUGAACGAUUAAGCCCUUCGGGGUGUAAAGUUCUGUCAGUAGGGACGAAACUUGACGGUACCUACAGAGGAAGCACCGGCUAACUCCGUGCCAGCCGCGGC
Molecule: ribosomal RNA, 474 nt
Filed under: uncultured bacterium
Lineage: Bacteria
Description: bacterial SSU rRNA
Rfam family: Bacterial small subunit ribosomal RNA
Source: RNAcentral